Molecule: ribosomal RNA, 301 nt
Filed under: uncultured bacterium
Lineage: Bacteria
Description: partial 16S ribosomal RNA
Rfam family: Bacterial small subunit ribosomal RNA
Source: RNAcentral
CAGCAGCCGCGGGAAUACGGAGGGCGCGAGCGUUACCCGGAUUUACUGGGCGUAAAGGGCGUGUAGGCGGCCUGGGGCGUCCCAUGUGAAAGGCCACGGCUCAACCGUGGAGGAGCGUGGGAUACGCUCAGGCUAGAGGGUGGGAGAGGGUGGCGGAAUUCCCGGAGUAGCGGUGAAAUGCGCAGAUACCGGGAGGAACGCCGAUGGCGAAGGCAGCCACCUGGUCCACUUCUGACGCUGAGGCGCGAAAGCGUGGGGAGCAAACAGGAUUAGAGACCCCGGUAGUCCCUGUCUCUUAUAC